Molecule: microRNA precursor, 76 nt
Filed under: Myotis davidii
Lineage: Eukaryota; Metazoa; Chordata; Mammalia; Chiroptera; Vespertilionidae
Description: mir-9229 microRNA precursor family
Rfam family: mir-9229 microRNA precursor family
Source: Rfam by way of RNAcentral
GAGACACCCCUAUGGAGCAGGCCUCACUUCAGUGGGGCUUUGGUGCUCACUGAGUCUUCCCCCUGAAUGUGUCACU